GGGCCUUUUGGACCUGUCAAUGUCAGGUUUUACAUAAUCAGGGUAUUCACACAUGAAUCCUCCCACUCUUCUUAUAUAAUCCUCUCUUUCUAAAAGUCUACAUCUCUCUCUCUCUCUCUCUCUCUCUCUCUCUCUCUCUCUCUCUCUCAAAUUAAAUCCCCUCUUUCUCUCUCUAGGUUUUUCAGACCGCAAAAGGAACAAACGUUUCCAACAUCGUUCUCGGAUAUAUGCAAGAAGAAGAAAGUGAAGUUUCAAUUACAAUGAACGAGGUCGUUGAUGAUGAUUGUGUUGUUGCGAGAGAGGAGAAAGACGAAGAGGAGGACGAAAACGUUGUGAUUGUGGCUGUUUGUUUGUUCUAAAUUCGGUGCUAUCCUUACCUGAGCUUUCACCCUAAUCAACCUUUCCUCUAUAAUUCUCGUUUUGAUUCUUGUUUCUUUUUUGACUUGUUGCUUUUUUUUCUUCUUGUAGAUUUGAUUUUCUUGACCUUGUAAGACCUAUUCUUGACCUUGUAAGACCCAACCACAUCUUCUAUCUCCUUACCUUUUGUUGUCGUGUGGACCUUAGAUCACUGUAAAUUGAUUAAAGGUCUUUUCACUAUCUUUCUUCGUUCCCACCCAACUCACGUUCUCCUUCCUUGUCUAUCCCUUCUGAGCUUUUUUUUCUCUUUAAAGAGAGAUACUUAAGGGCUAUGUUUCUUGGCAGAAACAUAUCCCAUUUUUUUACCUUUCAGUAGUAGACAAAAAGAAACCUAAUUCUUCAUCUUCAUCAACAAGAACAAACCCAAAUCCUCCAUGUCAACCGGCAUCAAGUGUCCUGUGUCUGUUAAGCCAGCAUGUUAACAAAGAAGAAAACCUAGAAUAUGGUAGCAUAUAUGAUAUAUUUUGAAGAUCUACAAACUCUUUUUAUCAUUGUUUUUAUCAUGUUAUGGGUCAAUUAAAGUGAAAUAGACUCACGAUGCCAAUGUGUUUUUUGGUUUUUGUUUUUUUGAUUUUUAUACAUUUAUGUGGUACUUUAGUUGGUCA
Long non-coding RNA from Lactuca sativa (garden lettuce), 1022 nucleotides. RefSeq lists it as uncharacterized. NCBI's taxonomy places the organism in Eukaryota, Viridiplantae, Streptophyta, Magnoliopsida, Asterales, Asteraceae. The record is from RefSeq and is a predicted model, not a curated record.